This 2788-nucleotide long non-coding RNA is filed under the name Strigops habroptila (Kakapo). Its description in RNAcentral is "lncRNA (ENSSHBG00005012718.1)". The record is from RNAcentral. Lineage: Eukaryota; Metazoa; Chordata; Aves; Psittaciformes; Psittacidae.
UCAAGAACAAGCAGAGAUAUUUAUUAGAUCUGUAAGUAUAAAGAAAGUCCUUGAGGAGCUACACCAGACUGGAGGACAGGACAUGCUGCUGUGCCAGGGCUACACCCCCCGAUUUAGACAUGUUGCUGGGACAAAUGCCACUGCACACAGAGCAACACAUGGCAACGACUGUGGCGGAAAGGGGGACACCUUUUUUAAAAAAAAAAAAAAAAAAAAGAACAAAACCAAACCAAACCAACAAAAAACCAACAACAACAAAAAUACCCCAAAUAACUAAGUCUCCCAAGGCUGAUAGCUGGCAGGCACUUUGGUGUAUCAUUUUGCAGGCCACGAUCCCCACAAGGACCACGCUCCUCGACCUCUGAGCAGUCUGGCUGGCACAGAACACGUUGACCCGGUGAGCAGAUGUCCCAUACCCAUUGGAAGAUCGCUUUUGCAGACUUCACACAGCUCUCUUGACAAGAUGAGUCCGUAACUAGUGAGAAAGUGCACUUUCCACAGAGAACAUCCCAGCUUCUCCUCCACGUGUUCCAGAGGUCUCUCUUGCAGCCCCCUCUUCCACCACAAUGAGCAGAGACUGAUGUAAACCAUGUACAGCUGCGCGUUGUUUUUCCUGGCAUGCUUUGGCCUGUGUCAUGGCACAGUUUUUUGGUUCAGGCACUAGAAGCAUGGUGGGUUUUUCUUCUUUCACUAGGGAUAAAGCAAAUGUGCUAUUCCCAGGUGAGUGUACCUGCCACAGCACACCAUUAGCUCUACAUUUGACAAAAUGCUUGCUUUUUCCACAUGAAUUUCAGCUUUAACACGUAAAAAGAAACGUAUUCUGUGUUUGAGAAAGAUUUAACUUUUCUCUCUAUGAAUGGCACAGCACCUAAACUCUUGUUUCCCUUCACCCCUGACAACCACUAUGCCAAGGCUGAUCUUUCCGCACAGUUGCCAUUUUGCCCCGCAGGAAGAGAAUUCCUCAUUGUCCCUCCUUACCAAAAUAGUUUAAUCCAGGUAAAUAAAAAAAUUCUUGAAGCCCAAUAUAGUUUUUUCAUGGACAAUUCCAGCACAGAAGGCUCACGAGGAAAGUUACAGACAAGUGGGAGGAAGCCUUCAGUAACUUCACUACCACACCACUAACUUGAGUUGCUGGCCUUGGGCUGCUUUAGGCAGCUGUCCCCAGGAUACUUCUCAAAGUGCAACACAUUCCUAACCAGUAAGCAACAAGUCUCCUGCACAUGAAAAAGAGAAAUCCAGACAAGAAGCAACAACCUCCAUCUAUAGUACCUCUAUAUUUUUUGCCCAGCCUUCCUCCUGUAACUGACAGGCAGUCAUACCUAUCAACAGGACAGCUGAAUCAAGUAGUGCUACUCAUGCCCUCAUGCCUCCUCUUCGUAGGGCUCUGAUACAUGGCCAGGCACUGUUCGAAUGACAGCACCCCAGAUCCAUACUGGCUGUGUACAGUGCAAAUCUGCCAGACACAUGAAUAAUUCAACUAUGGAACUGCUUGUGCCAUCUCCAUAGUAAUAAAUGCAGUGUUAAUGCAGCAGAUUAUAUAUAAGCAUUCAAAAUCUCUUCAGAAGAUUAGAUUUUAUGGGGGUAUUAGAGGAACACUGAUUAAUAAACAUGCUAGAAAAACAGCACGGGGGAUGGGGGUAUUACCUUCAUAUACAUCACUUGGAAACUCACCCCCCCACCGCCAAAACCUCGACACCUUGAGGGGAAAAGCGGCAACCAAUUUAUCCUCACUGUCCAGACACCCAAAAAUGAGGUUUAAUAACACAGAUCACAGAUAAUCAAUCCUUCAGUGGCUGCCACCAAGUUUUUCCUUCUCUGCUCCUAGGCACACCACCCUCUAGCUCCCAAAGGACUGUUUACAACACUGCCAUUUCUGCUGAUUCUGAAAGUACGGACCUCCAAUAUCCUCAGUAGCAAAUUAUACAUUAGAAAAGCAAAGUGCUGAAUGACUUACCCCUAACUCCAGGGAUAAGAAAUUGCUAAGAACUUACUUAUGAUUAUUUUCCACUCAAUUUUCUUGACUCAAGUUUGCCAAAUAGUCACCUAAUUAAAAAUAAUUUAGUUAACAUUUCAAAUAGUUCGGUCAAAGCUGGGACCAAAAUACUUCAUUAGCAGGGCAUAAAUAUGAAUUGUUUUUAAAAUAAUCCUUGAAUGUUUUGAUAUGCAAAAGGAAGCAGCAGCUGCACCAAUGAAAGUGACCUUGUCUAGCACAUUGAUGGACAGAAUUUUUUACCCUGCCAAUAGCUUGCUUCUUUAAUCUUCUUUACCUAACACGAGAUAAAUGGGAUAUUAUGGGGUGCUUUUAUGGUUUGUGUUUUUAUCCUGUAGCUGGUUAUCCCUUGCAUGUCCAGUGAAGGGCAAAGAAAGUGGUAAAGCACAAGUUUCAGGAGGAGCAGCUGAGGGAACUGGGUUUGUCAAGCCUCUACCUGAAAGGAAGUUGUACUGAGGUGGGGGGUCAGUCUCUUCUCCCAAGUAACCAGUGAUAGAAUGAGAGCAAUCAGCCUUAAGUUGCACCAGGGGAGGUUUAGAUUUGGUCUGAGGAAAAAUGGCUUCACUGAAAGGGUAGGCAAGCACUGGAGCAUGCUGCCCAGGGAAGUGGUGGUCACCAUCACUGGAGGGAUUUAAAGAUGAGGCGCAGUAAACCACUGUGGAGUAUACAGAGCUGUUUCCAACCUGAAGUCACGUCAUUCUUCUGUGUACACAGUACUUUUCAGAAGAUGCUACAGCAAAGAGAGGAGAUGGAUCAAGUAUUUAACAUGACCAUCUUCCCUAAUAUCUAGUAAGAUGC